ACUAGCAGCUAGCUCUCUGCCACUCUCACUUGGUCACACACUGAAGCUAAGCAGGGCUGCGCUCAGUCAAUAUCUGGAUGGGAGACCACAUCGGAAAGCUAGUUGCUGCCGGAA
Non-coding RNA from Danio rerio (zebrafish), 114 nucleotides. NCBI's taxonomy places the organism in Eukaryota, Metazoa, Chordata, Actinopteri, Cypriniformes, Danionidae. The record is from Rfam.